CAGCAGUAGCCGCGGUAAUACGAAGGGUGCAAGCGUUAAUCGGAAUUACUGGGCGUAAAGCGUGCGUAGGCGGUUUGUUAAGUCUGUUGUGAAAUCCCCGGGCUCAACCUGGGAAUGGCAGUGGAUACUGGCUCGCUAGAGUGUGUCAGAGGAUGGUGGAAUUCCCGGUGUAGCGGUGAAAUGCGUAGAGAUCGGGAGGAACAUCAGUGGCGAAGGCGGCCAUCUGGGACAACACUGACGCUGAGGCACGAAAGCGUGGGGAGCAAACAGGAUUAGAGACCCCCGUAGUCCCUGUCUCUUAUAU
This 304-nucleotide ribosomal RNA is filed under the name uncultured bacterium. RNAcentral's name for it is "partial 16S ribosomal RNA". It matches the Rfam family "Bacterial small subunit ribosomal RNA", at positions 506 to 809 of the family's 1533-position model. The record is from RNAcentral.